GGGGGCAUAGCUCAGUUGGUAGAGCACCAGCUUUGCAAGCUGGGAGUCAGGGGUUCGAGUCCCCUUGCCUCCA
RNAcentral lists this transfer RNA (73 nucleotides) under Methylacidiphilales bacterium. Its description in RNAcentral is "Candidatus Methylacidiphilales bacterium tRNA-Ala". It matches the Rfam family "tRNA". From Rfam's summary of the family: Transfer RNA (tRNA) molecules are approximately 80 nucleotides in length. The record is from RNAcentral. Lineage: Bacteria; Pseudomonadati; Verrucomicrobiota; Methylacidiphilae; Methylacidiphilales.